Molecule: non-coding RNA, 661 nt
Organism: Pimephales promelas (fathead minnow)
Lineage: Eukaryota; Metazoa; Chordata; Actinopteri; Cypriniformes; Leuciscidae
Source: RefSeq, a predicted model, not a curated record
GUUUGUCAACAUGGGUCCAUGUUUGAGUGAGUAUCGGAGCUGGGGAACAGGCUGGAUCCGUGUCCCCGCGAAGCAACCUACACCCUUGAGUAAUGAAGGCCAUCUGCUUCCAAAGAGCUCUGUCAGCAAAACGGAGUCAGCCGAAAAGAUUUCAAUUAUCAAUAUACCAUUUAAUACAUCGCCCGCAGGCCAAACAGUCUGGCGUGCCGACAGCGCGAGAUGGAGGAUGUUAUUCCUCAGCUACAUGGGUGGAUUCUGCAACGCGGCAAAUCGGGGUUCAGAGCUGUCUCACAUCUAUCACGCAUUGGAUAAAUGAUCAUGUCUGAGGAGAAGCAAACAACUCUGCGCCUUAGCAGACCGUUUUGGACUUCACUGCUGAAAGAAGCUGCCGUUGGUAAUGCAUUCUACUUCUGUUCGUUGGCAUUGAAGGAGGAUCUACAACAUUCCCUACUGUGUACAUCAUCACUGACUCGUGGGAGUGUGAAUGAGACUAUUCAAACUCUUGUCUUUUCACUCAUCAUUUUGCUGUUGUUUAUGAGCUCUGUGGUCCAUUCGUGAUUGUUCUCAUCAAAGAUGAGAUGUUUGAUUACGUGGAAAUACCUCAAAAGAAAAGAAGUCACAAAACCACCUGGGACCUUACAGCCGGAGCAAUACCCUGGUG